GAUCUCUUGGGGGUUAAAAUGAAGAUUGUGGUGACCAUUUUGGAGGAUGGAUGGGUACUCACGGGAUAUUGGUGCGGUUCAAUAAGAAAACGGUGCUCAAUACUUUUUGAGCUCCGCUUUUUGAUUGAGCCGCGCCAAUAUCACGUGCCACUCGCUCUCUAAUUGCUUUCUUUUAAGCACAGGGGAGCGCGUAAUUAUGUUGAGGUCAGGUAAGUAGGGGUUUAAAUUAAAAUUCUAGCUUAUUGCUUCUGUUUAAAUUUUACUGUUCAAUUGGCUCCAUUUAGAUGCAUCAUUGUUUUUAUGUUAUGACCCUUUCGAAUU
This 321-nucleotide microRNA precursor is filed under the name Citrus x clementina. Lineage: Eukaryota; Viridiplantae; Streptophyta; Magnoliopsida; Sapindales; Rutaceae. The record is from RNAcentral.